Molecule: ribosomal RNA, 239 nt
Filed under: uncultured bacterium
Lineage: Bacteria
Description: partial 16S ribosomal RNA
Rfam family: Bacterial small subunit ribosomal RNA
Source: RNAcentral
UGAGGAACAUGACCUUCGGCGGGGGAUAGCCGGCCCAACGGCCGGGUAAUACCGCGUACGACCUUUUGGGGACAUCCCCGAUUGGUGAAAGCAGCAAUGCGCCGAAAGAGUGCCUCGCGGCCUAUCAGCUAGUUGGUGGGGUAAUGGCUCACCAAGGCGACGACGGGUAGCUGGUCUGAGAGGAUGGCCAGCCACAUUGGGACUGAGACACGGCCCAGACUCCGUACGGGAGCAGCAGG